UGAGGAAUAUUGGUCAAUGGGCGAGAGCCUGAACCAGCCAAGUCGCGUGAAGGAAGAAGGUUCUAUGGAUUGUAAACUUCUUUUGUAAGGGAAUAAAGUGCGCUACGUGUAGUGUAUUGUAUGUACUUUACGAAUAAGGAUCGGCUAACUCCGUGCCAGCAGCCGCGGUAAUACGGAGGAUCCGAGCGUUAUCCGGAUUUAUUGGGUUUAAAGGGUGCGUAGGCGGACUGAUAAGUCAGCGGUGAAAGUUUGCAGCUUAACUGUAAAAUUGCCGUUGAAACUGUUAGUCUUGAGUGUAAAUGAGGUAGGCGGAAUGUGUUGUGUAGCGGUGAAAUGCUUAGAUAUAACACAGAACACCAAUUGCGAAGGCAGCUUACUAGAAUACAACUGACGCUGAGGCACGAAAGCGUGGGGAUCAAACA
RNAcentral lists this ribosomal RNA (422 nucleotides) under uncultured prokaryote. RNAcentral's name for it is "bacterial SSU rRNA". It matches the Rfam family "Bacterial small subunit ribosomal RNA", at positions 355 to 774 of the family's 1533-position model. The record is from RNAcentral.